AAGAUAAUGACGGUACUUGAGGAAUCAGCAUCGGCUAACUCCGUGCCAGCAGCCGCGGUAAUACGGAGGAUGCAAGCGUUAUCCGGAAUAAUUGGGCGUAAAGCGUUCGUAGGUGGUGAUGUAAGUCUGCUGUUAAAGCGUGUAGCUUAACUACAUAUAGGCGGUGGAAACUACAUGACUAGAGUGCGUUCGGGGCAGAGGGAAUUCCUGGUGUAGCGGUGAAAUGCGUACAUAUCAGGAAGAACACCGGUGGCGAAGGCGCUCUGCUAGGCCGUAACUGACACUGAGGGACGAAAGCUAGGGGAGCGAAUGGGAUUAGAUACCCCAGUAGUCCUAGCUGUAAACGAUGGAUACUAGGCGUUGUCUGUAUCGACCCGGACAGUGCCGUAGCUAACGCGUUAAGUAUCCCGCCUGGGGAGUACGCACGCAAGUGUGAAACUCAAAGGAAUUGACGGGGGCCCGCACAAGCGGUGGAGUAUGUGGUUUAAUUCGAUGCAACGCGAAGAACCUUACCAAGGCUUGACAUGUCCGGAAUUUCUUGGAAACGAGAAAGUGCCUUCGGGAACCGGAACACAGGUGGUGCAUGGCUGUCGUCAGCUCGUGUCGUGAGAUGUUGGGUUAAGUCCCGCAACGAGCGCAACCCUCGUUUUUAGUUGCCAGCACUUCGGGUGGGCACUCUAGAGAGACUGCCGGUGACAAACCGGAGGAAGGUGGGGAUGACGUCAAGUCAUCAUGCCCCUUACGUCUUGGGCUACACACGUACUACAAUGCUAUGGACAAAGAGCAGCCAACCAGCGAUGGUGCGCUAAUCUCAUAAACCAUGGCUCAGUUCAGAUCGCAGGCUGCAACUCGCCUGCGUGAAGUAGGAAUCGCUAGUAAUUGCAGGUCAGCAUACUGCAGUGAAUUCGUUCCCGGGCCUUGUACACACCGCCCGUCACACCAUGGAAGUUGGUCAUGCCCGAAGUCGUUAUUCCAACCG
Molecule: ribosomal RNA, 979 nt
Filed under: uncultured cyanobacterium
Lineage: Bacteria; Bacillati; Cyanobacteriota
Description: bacterial SSU rRNA
Rfam family: Bacterial small subunit ribosomal RNA
Source: RNAcentral